RNA transcript from Raphanus sativus (radish), 1242 nucleotides. RefSeq lists it as uncharacterized. NCBI's taxonomy places the organism in Eukaryota, Viridiplantae, Streptophyta, Magnoliopsida, Brassicales, Brassicaceae. The transcript is spliced from 3 exons. The record is from RefSeq and is a predicted model, not a curated record.
CGAAGCGAAGCGUAUCACUGAACUUUUUGAGAUUCGAGUUAGUUAUACAGUUUGACCGAGUCCGUUAUAUACAUGCCUUCCCUCCAAAAAAAACAGAGCAAAAAUAAAAGAAAAACCUUUCAAGAAACCCUCUCAUCCGUCGUACGUCAGUCUUCUUCUUCUCCCAGAAAUGUCUGAAGAUCUCUUCCGACGUACCAGACCUUUCAAUCAACUCGAUGACUUCUUCACCGACUGGUCCAAACACCUAAAGACAUGGCUGUGACUGUCCCCCUCGAGACGACGAUCCUCCUCCUCGGCGACAUCAACCCUCGUCUUUUCACCAGUCUCAUCAAGUCUUUCAUCGACGACGACGAUCAAGAUCCCGUCCACACUUUCCGUAACCUUGCUGCGUGGGAAGAACUAUCUUCCCAGCUCGGGAACACUAUCAACGGAACAGUCUCGCGUCUACAAGAUGAGAUGACGGAAGCACAGGACCGUUUCGUAAAACGUUUCUCGGAUAAGUGGGUAUCGUCCUUUCGUCUUCAUGCUCAGAGUGAAACGGUAGUUAUGGAGACGGCGACUUCAGUGACGACGGAGGAGGAGGAGGAGGAUGGUGGUGGUGCGAUGAUCAUGGAGGAGCUUGUGAGAAUCUUCCGUGAAGCGAAUCAAUUGAGGAAGGAUACAAUCACCAGCAUUGUUGGAGUGUUGAACAUGAAUCAAAUCGCUCUCUUUCUUGUAAGCGUAUGCAAGCUUCUUGCAGGGUUUAAACAUCAGGAUCAGGCUUUUGAGAAUUCUCUAUUUGAUAAUCAUCUCAUUAACCAGCAGCUUCCAAAACCUGAACAGCUCCUUGAUCCAUCCGGAGAGGUUAAUAUUGCACACCACAAUUAUCCUCAGCCCAUGAUGCAGCAGCAUUUACCUCAGCUUCCACCACCGCCCAUGAUGCAGGAGCAGCAGCAGCAAAAGCACGUUAUAUAUGUUGGGAACUUGGCCCCAGAGACCACGUAUGGUUUGCUACUACAGGAGUUCAGUCAUUAUCGUUCGGCUAGGAAUUCAAAGAUUUGCGUUAACAAAGGAACUGGAGAGACAUAUGGUUUUGUUAGCUUUGCAGAUGAAAGGGAUAAAAUUCAUGCUAUGCGGGUAAUGAACCGUCAAAUCCUUUUAGGUAAGGAAAUGCAUAUUGGUCGUGCGGCUAAGAACUCUAUCUAGUCCCACUUUCCUUCACUAUAUACUUUGGGAUUGAUAUUAAAAGUAGUUUCUAGAGUC